This 443-nucleotide ribosomal RNA is filed under the name uncultured bacterium. RNAcentral's name for it is "partial 16S ribosomal RNA". It matches the Rfam family "Bacterial small subunit ribosomal RNA", at positions 338 to 795 of the family's 1533-position model. The record is from RNAcentral.
CCUACGGGUGGCAGCAGUGGGGAAUAUUGGUCAAUGGGCGAGAGUCUGAUGCAGCCACGCCGCGUGAAGGAAGACUGUUUUCUGAUUUUAAACCUCCAUCUAUAGGGGAGUAAAAAAUGACGGUACCUAGAUAAGAAACCUCCGCUAACAACGUGCCAGCAGCCGCGGUGAUACGUAGGCGGCAAGCGUUAUCCGGAAUUACUGGGUGUAAAGGGAGAGUAGGUGGCAAGGUAAGCGAUAUGUGAAAGCCUUAAGCUUAACCAAAAGAUUGCAUAACAUACUAGCUGUCUAGAGUACAGUAGAGGAAAGCGGAAUUCGUGGUGUAGCGGUGAAAUGCGUAGAUAUCACGAAGAACACCGGUUGCGAAGGCAGCUUUCUGGACUGAAACUGACACUGAGGCUCGAAAGUGUGGGGAGCGAACAGGAUUAGAUACCCGGGUAGUC